RNAcentral lists this small nuclear RNA (105 nucleotides) under Vicugna pacos (alpaca). The record is from RNAcentral. Lineage: Eukaryota; Metazoa; Chordata; Mammalia; Artiodactyla; Camelidae.
AUGUUUGAUUCGGCAGCACAUAAACUAAACUGGAGUGAUGCAAAUAAGGUAGCGUGGAUGCUGCGUAAGGGUGACGUACAAAUUCGUGAAGUGGUCCAUAUUUUU